Molecule: ribosomal RNA, 497 nt
Filed under: uncultured bacterium
Lineage: Bacteria
Description: partial 16S ribosomal RNA
Rfam family: Bacterial small subunit ribosomal RNA
Source: RNAcentral
GAUGAACGCUGGCGGCGUGCCUAAUACAUGCAAGUCGAGCGAACAGACGCGGAGCUUGCUCUUCUCACGUUAGCGGCGAACGGGUGAGUAACACGUGGAUAACCUACCUAUCAGACUGGGAUAACUUCGGGAAACCGGAGCUAAAACCGGAUAAUAUUUCGAACCGCAUGGUUUAAUGGUGAAAGAAGGUUUUGCUGUCUCUUGUAGAUGGAUCCGCGCUGCCUUAGCUAGUUGGUAAGGUAACGGCUUACCAAGGCGACGAUGCCUAGCCGACCUGAGAGAGUGAUCGGCCACACUGGAACUGAGACACGGUCCAGACUCCUACGGGAGGCAGCAGUAGGGAAUCUUCCGCAAUGGGCGAAAGCCUGACGGAGCAACGCCGCGUGAGUGAAGAAGGUCUUCGGAUCGUAAAACUCUGUUAUUAGGGAAGAACAAGUGUUAGAGUAACUGUGCACGUCUUGACGGUACCUAAUCAGAAAGCCACGGCUAACUACGUG